This 398-nucleotide ribosomal RNA is filed under the name uncultured bacterium. RNAcentral's name for it is "partial 16S ribosomal RNA". It matches the Rfam family "Bacterial small subunit ribosomal RNA", at positions 355 to 743 of the family's 1533-position model. The record is from RNAcentral.
UGGGGAAUAUUGCACAAUGGGCGCAAGCCUGAUGCAGCCAUGCCGCGUGUGUGAAGAAGGCCUUCGGGUUGUAAAGCACUUUCAGCGAGGAGGAAGGUGGUGGACUUAAUACGUUCAUCAAUUGACGUUACUCGCAGAAGAAGCACCGGCUAACUCCGUGCCAGCAGCCGCGGUAAUACGGAGGGUGCAAGCGUUAAUCGGAAUUACUGGGCGUAAAGCGCACGCAGGCGGUUUGUUAAGUCAGAUGUGAAAUCCCCGGGCUCAACCUGGGAACUGCAUUUGAAACUGGCAAGCUAGAGUCUCGUAGAGGGGGGUAGAAUUCCAGGUGUAGCGGUGAAAUGCGGUAGAGAUCUGGAGGAAUACCGGUGGCGCAAGGCGGCCCCCUGGACGAAGACUGA